ACAAGCAACACGUCGGAGGAUUUCAACGUACAGGAACACCCAAUUGAACUUGGCAUCGUCAAAUCGUAAAUGUUUGAGCCGAUCAGGAGUUCGGAACAGACUGCACUCCUGCCUUGCCUCCCUGCUUCCCUGCGCUUGGGUCCUCCACGUUUUUCCUUGCCUUCAAAAACCCAAACCAUGACAGAAUGAACCGACCCGAACAGGACCAAGCGGCGUCACCCUGCACGCCCUCAGCCUGCCAACCAUACCUACUCCCCUACAAUGUUUGGACUUUUGUUGAGGUCUCGUGGAUGACGCAGUCUACAUCGGACUGCACUUCAUCCUGGAACACUUUGAUGGCACAGGGACCUAUGCGAGCAUCCUUUUCGUGGACUUAAGCUCUGCAUUCAACUCCGUUAUCCUCAAACUCUUCUAGCUCAGCAUCUCGCCUGCCAUCUGCUAGCGGAUCUACAGCUUCCUAAGUGGCAGGACACAGCAAGUGAGGCUACUACCUCAUCCACACGCACCAUGAGCGCUGGGAGCCCCUCCCCCAGGAUGUGUCCUCUCUGCUGCUUUUCUUUCUACACGAACGACUGCACCUCAAUGCACCUGGCUGUCAAAGUUACAGGAGUACAGUCAUCGGCCUCAUCAAAGACGGUGACGAGUCUGCGUAUUGACAGGAAGCUUGGAGCUGAACACGCUCAAGAUGGUAGAGAAGAUCGUGGACCUCAGGAAACAUCCUUCCCCAUGCCUAUCACGCUGACCAACUGCCCUGUGUCAACUGUCGAGACCUUCAAGUACCUGGGAAUUACAGUCUGUCAGGCCUUAAAGUAGGAGACCAACAUCAACUCCAUCCUCAAAAAGGCCCAGCAGAGGAUGUACUUCCUGCGGCUUUUGAGGAAGCACAGCCUGUCACAGGAGCUGUUGAGGCAGUUUUAAACAGGAGUCAUUGAUUCGGUUCUGUGUUCACCCAGAGUCUGGUUUGAUGGUGCCUCAAAGGUCAAAAUCCGAUGGCAAUGGACAGUCAAGUCUCCUGAAAAACCGAACGGUACCGACCUUACCCACUCUUGAGGAAGUGCAUGCUGCCAGAACUAAGACAAGGGCAUGUAAAAUCCUCUUGGACCCUCCACAUCCAAGUCACCACUUAUUCCAGCUCCUUCCCUCAGGUAGGCUCUAUCGAACAUCCAUCCAGUCUCUCCACUGCUUAUCCUCACUAGGGUCGCGGGCGUGCUGGAGCCUAUCCCAGCUAUUUUCGGGCAGGAGGCGGGAUACACCCUAACUGCUUGCCAGCCAAUCGCAGGGCACGUAUAAACAACCAUUCAUACCUAUGGAUAAUUUAGAGUCAAUUAACCUAUCAUGGAUGUUUUUGGGAUGUGGGAGGAAACCGAAGUACCUGGAGAAAACCUAUGCAGGCACGCGGAGAACGUGCACACUCGACAGAGGCGAGGCUGGAUUUGUACCCGGGUCCUCAGAACUGUGAGCCAGAUGUACUUACCAGUCAUUCACCGUUCCGCCCGCUAUCAAACAAUGCAAACUAAAACUAGCAGACAUUCCAUCAACCUCUUAAACAGUUGACUUACAAUUUCAUUUACUGGCUGCCAAAUUUGCACAUCUCUGUUGGAACAAUUCUACAUUAUUCAUGCACUCACUGUUUUAUCACGCUGCACUAUUUGCAUACUGUUGUUGAUUACUACGUGUUUGAGAACUUUGCACCAGCAUCACUGUACCAGAUCAUUGCAUUAUUCCUCACUUUAAAUUGCUCUAAAUUGCUUGAGGACUGCAUCAUUUGCACAAUGCCAUUAUAUCAGCGUCACCACACCGGUGGUACACUUUCAUUGCUCAAUGACUCUCCAUACUCAUGUUUUUUAUGUCCUAAAUGUACAGUAUAUUUUGUCAUAGUGGUUGUCAUACUAGAGUGGCUCCAACGACCGGAGACAAAUUCCUUGUGUGUCUAAAAUACUUGGCCUAUAAAGCUGAUUCUAAUUCUGAUAAUUUAUGUGCUGGGCCUCCAUAAGUUGAAGCAAGCUGCCGACCACCGAGCCAUAUGGAAGUGUCUGCAUGAGUCAGGGAACCAACUAAAAUGAGCUGAUUUCAGCAAGACAAGAAAGUGUAGUUAUAUAUAAUUCUUGAUCCAUGUAACAUUUGUGGCUGCAUCAGAGUGGGUACCACCUGUGGCUGAGCUAGAAACCCAAAUUAUGUAAAAAUAAACAAAUAAAUACUUUCAAUU
Phycodurus eques (leafy seadragon) is the source of this 2206-nucleotide long non-coding RNA. RefSeq lists it as uncharacterized. The record is from RefSeq and is a predicted model, not a curated record. The transcript has 3 exons. Lineage: Eukaryota; Metazoa; Chordata; Actinopteri; Syngnathiformes; Syngnathidae.